UGCCCAGCAACUCCUAUCCCUACCUCCUCGUGGUACUGGCCGGGGUACGAGUAACCUUGGGGAAGAUCGGGUAACCAACUCCCGGUGGGAAUUUUGGUCGUAUGCUGACAGGGAAGG
This 117-nucleotide ribozyme is filed under the name Aedes aegypti (yellow fever mosquito). RNAcentral's name for it is "drz-agam-1 ribozyme". It matches the Rfam family "drz-agam-1 ribozyme". The record is from Rfam by way of RNAcentral. Lineage: Eukaryota; Metazoa; Arthropoda; Insecta; Diptera; Culicidae.